GAUGAACGCUAGCGAUAGGCUUAACACAUGCAAGUCGAGGGGCAGCGGGGACUUCGGUCUGCCGGCGACCGGCGCACGGGUGCGUAACACGUAUGCAACCUACCCAUAACUUGGGGAUAGCCCGGGGAAACCCGGAUUAAUACCCGAUGAUACAGGGAUACCGCCUGGUAAUAUUUGUUAAAGAUUAAUUGGUUAUGGAUGGGCAUGCGCAGGAUUAGCUAGUUGGUUGAGGUAACGGCUCACCAAGGCGACGAUCCUUAGGGGAACUGAGAGGUUUGUCCCCCACACUGGUACUGAGACACGGACCAGACUCCUACGGGAGGCAGCAGUGAGGAAUAUUGGUCAAUGGUCGAGAGACUGAACCAGCCAAAUCGCGUGAAGGAAGACGGUAUUAUGUAUUGUAAACUUCUUUUGUAAGGGAAUAAAGUGCAGGAUGUAUCCUGUUUUGUAUGUACCUUAGGAAUAAGCAUCGGCUAACUCCGUGCCAGCAGCCGCGGUAAUACGGAGGAUGCGAGCGUUAUCCGGAUUUAUUGGGGUUUAAAGGGUGCGUAGGUGGGCUUGUAAGUCAGCGGUUGAAAUUCAGGAGCUUAACUUCUGGACUGCCGUUGAAACUGUGAGUCUUGAGUGCGAACGAGGUAGGCGGAAUUCGUAGUGUAGCGGUGAAAUGCAUAGAUAUUACGAAGAACACCGAUAGCGCAGGCAGCUUAUCAGGCCGCAACUGACACUGAAGCACGAAAGUGUGGGUAUCAAACAGGAUUAGAUACCCUGGUAGUCCACACAGUAAACGAUGAUAACUAGGUGUUUGCGAUAUACCGUAAGCGCCCGAGCGAAAGCGUUAAGUUAUCCACCUGGGGAGUACGCCGGCAACGGUGAAACUCAAAGGAAUUGACGGGGGCCCGCACAAGCGGAGGAACAUGUGGUUUAAUUCGAUGAUACGCGAGGAACCUUACCCGGGCUCGAACGGCUAAAGAAUAUGUAUGAAAGUAUAUAGCUAGCAAUAGCUUUAGUCGAGGUGCUGCAUGGUUGUCGUCAGCUCGUGCCGUGAGGUAUCGGCUUAAGUGCCAUAACGAGCGCAACCCUUAUCGUUAGUUACCAUCAGGUCAAGCUGGGGACUCUAACGAGACUGCCACCGUAAGGUGUGAGGAAGGUGGGGAUGACGUCAAAUCAGCACGGCCCUUACGUCCGGGGCGACACACGUGUUACAAUGGGUGGUACAGCGGGUGGCUACCUGGCGACAGGAUGCUAAUCCCGAAAACCACUCCCAGUUCGGAUCGGAGUCUGCAACCCGACUCCGUGAAGCUGGAUUCGCUAGUAAUCGCGCAUCAGCCAUGGCGCGGUGAAUACGUUCCCGGGCCUUGUACACACCGCCCGUCAAGCCAUGGAAGCCGGGGGUACCUGAAGUUCGUAACCGUUAAGGAGCGACCUAGGGUAAAACUGGUAACUGGGGCU
RNAcentral lists this ribosomal RNA (1449 nucleotides) under uncultured Bacteroidota bacterium. Its description in RNAcentral is "bacterial SSU rRNA". It matches the Rfam family "Bacterial small subunit ribosomal RNA". The record is from RNAcentral. Lineage: Bacteria; Pseudomonadati; Bacteroidota.